RNAcentral lists this ribosomal RNA (414 nucleotides) under Fragilaria sp. RCC5548. Its description in RNAcentral is "SSU rRNA". It matches the Rfam family "Eukaryotic small subunit ribosomal RNA", at positions 633 to 1050 of the family's 1831-position model. Lineage: Eukaryota; Bacillariophyta; Fragilariophyceae; Fragilariales; Fragilariaceae. The record is from RNAcentral.
GUUGGAUUUGUGGUUGGGUUCGUCGGUCCGGCACAUUGUGCGGGUACUUGAUGGACUCGUCCAUCCUUGGGUGGAAUCUGUGUGGCAUUAAGUUGUCGUGCAGGGGAUGCCCAUCGUUUACUGUGAAAAAAUUAGAGUGUUCAAAGCAGGCUUAUGCCGUUGAAUAUAUUAGCAUGGAAUAAUGAGAUAGGACCUUGGUACUAUUUUGUUGGUUUGCGCACCGAGGUAAUGAUUAAUAGGGACAGUUGGGGGUAUUCGUAUUCCAUUGUCAGAGGUGAAAUUCUUGGAUUUUUGGAAGACGAACUACUGCGAAAGCAUUUACCAAGGAUGUUUUCAUUAAUCAAGAACGAAAGUUAGGGGAUCGAAGAUGAUUAGAUACCAUCGUAGUCUUAACCAUAAACUAUGCCGACAAGG